UACGAAGGGGGCUAGCGUUGUUCGGAUUUACUGGGCGUAAAGGGAGUGUAGGCGGUUUUAUAAGUCAGACGUGAAAGCCCGGGGCUCAACCCCGGAAAUUGCGUUUGAGACUAUAAGACUUGAGUGUCUGAGGGGUAAGCGGGAAUUCCCAGUGUAGAGGUGAAAUUCGUAGAUAUUGGGAGGAACACCGGUGGCGUAGGCGGCUUACUGGCAGACAACUGACGCUGAGGCUCGAAAGCGUGGGGAGCAAACAG
This 254-nucleotide ribosomal RNA is filed under the name uncultured bacterium. RNAcentral's name for it is "partial 16S ribosomal RNA". It matches the Rfam family "Bacterial small subunit ribosomal RNA", at positions 524 to 775 of the family's 1533-position model. The record is from RNAcentral.